RNAcentral lists this transfer RNA (66 nucleotides) under Bombylius sp. RNAcentral describes it as "tRNA-Cys". Lineage: Eukaryota; Metazoa; Arthropoda; Insecta; Diptera; Bombyliidae. The record is from RNAcentral.
GGCUUUAUAUUCAUAUAUAAUGAUAUUAGACUGCAAUUCUAAAGGAGUAUUUUAAUACUAAGGCUU